GGCGAACGGGUGAGUAUCACGUGAGUAACCUUCCCUUGACUCUGGGAUAAGCCCGGGAAACUGGGUCUAAUACCGGAUACGACCAGUCCUCGCAUGGGGUGCUGGUGGAAAGAUUUAUCGGUCUUGGAUGGACUCGCGGCCUAUCAGCUUGUUGGUGAGGUAAUGGCUCACCAAGGCGAUGACGGGUAGCCGGCCUGAGAGGGUGACCGGCCACACUGGGACUGAGACACGGCCCAGACUCCUACGGGAGGCAGCAGUGGGGAAUAUUGCACAAUGGGCGAAAGCCUGAUGCAGCGACGCCGCGUGCGGGAUGACGGCCUUCGGGUUGUAAACCGCUUUCAGCAGGGAAGAAGCGAGAGUGACGGUACCUGCAGAAGAAGCGCCGGCUAACUACGUGCCAGCAGCCGCGGUAAUACGUAGGGCGCGAGCGUUAUCCGGAAUUAUUGGGCGUAAAGAGCUCGUAGGCGGUUUGUCACGUCUGCUGUGAAAGCCCGAGGCUCAACCUCGGGUGUGCAGUGGGUACGGGCAGACUAGAGUGCAGUAGGGGAGACUGGAAUUCCUGGUGUAGCGGUGAAAUGCGCAGAUAUCAGGAGGAACACCGAUGGCGAAGGCAGGUCUCUGGGCUGUUACUGACGCUGAGGAGCGAAAGCAUGGGGAGCGAACAGGAUUAGAUACCCUGGUAGUCCAUGCCGUAAACGUUGGGCACUAGGUGUGGGGGACAUUCCACGUUUU
RNAcentral lists this ribosomal RNA (732 nucleotides) under uncultured bacterium. Its description in RNAcentral is "bacterial SSU rRNA". It matches the Rfam family "Bacterial small subunit ribosomal RNA", at positions 97 to 840 of the family's 1533-position model. The record is from RNAcentral.